This 497-nucleotide ribosomal RNA is filed under the name uncultured bacterium. RNAcentral describes it as "bacterial SSU rRNA". It matches the Rfam family "Bacterial small subunit ribosomal RNA", at positions 19 to 509 of the family's 1533-position model. The record is from RNAcentral.
CUGGCUCAGGAUGAACGCUAGCUACAGGCUUAACACAUGCAAGUCGUGGGGCAGCAUAUAGAUAGCUUGCUAUUUAUGAUGGCGACCGGCGCACGGGUGAGUAACGCGUAUCCAACCUUCCCCAUAGUAGGGUAUAGCCCGGCGAAAGUCGGAUUAAUCCCCUAUGUUGUUUGAAGCGGACAUCUAAUUCAAACCAAAGAUUCAUCGCUAUGGGAUGGGGAUGCGUCUGAUUAGGUUGCAGGCGGGUAACGGCCACCUGGCCGACGAUCAGUAGGGGUUCUGAGAGGAAGGUCCCCCACACUGGUACUGAGACACGGACCAGACUCCUACGGGAGGCAGCAGUGAGGAAUAUUGGUCAAUGGGCGCGAGCCUGAACCAGCCAAGUAGCGUGCAGGAUGACGGCCCUACGGGUUGUAAACUGCUUUAUGCGGGGAUAAAGUGAGGGACGUGUCCCUUUUGCAGGUACCGCAUGAAUAAGGACCGGCUAAUUCCGUGCC